ACUUUUUUCCACACUAUAAAAUGAUCAACAAAUUCCUAUUUCUAGAUUCAUAAAAGAGAAAAUAUGGCUAAAGGUUAUAUAUUUAUUUAUGCUAUGGUUAUCAUUUUUUCCAUAUUUAUUUCUAUAACAAAUUGCAGCCUACACUUAUGCGAAAAAACUGAGGAUUGUCACGAUUUGGUCUGUUUCCCACCUAAAGUUCUUAAUUGCAGCUUCAAUAUUGUGGAAGGUUUAAAGUCGAUAUUGGGAUAUGGGGUUUGUGAAUGUACAUAAAUACCUUAAUUAGUGGCUUAUGAAUGUGUGUAGAAACCAUAAAAUAAUUUCUUUCAAAAUAAUCUUUAAAGAGCAUUCUAGAGUCAUUCUUUAGUAAUAUCCUUAAAAUUAAAUAAGUGGUUUGUACCCAAAAAGAAUAAAAAUAAGUGGUUUCUUAACUAGUGCCACAUAUAUAGAUACUAGUUAGCAUUUUUCAUUAAUUAUGCUAUUUUUAACCAUAUAAUAAUGUUGGUUCUUUUAUGAUUUAUUUCACACAUAUUUUAAUUUUCCUGA
Molecule: long non-coding RNA, 543 nt
Organism: Trifolium pratense (red clover)
Lineage: Eukaryota; Viridiplantae; Streptophyta; Magnoliopsida; Fabales; Fabaceae
Exons: 2
Source: RefSeq, a predicted model, not a curated record